RNAcentral lists this ribosomal RNA (253 nucleotides) under uncultured bacterium. RNAcentral describes it as "partial 16S ribosomal RNA". It matches the Rfam family "Bacterial small subunit ribosomal RNA", at positions 524 to 776 of the family's 1533-position model. The record is from RNAcentral.
UACGUAGGGCGCAAGCGUUGUCCGGAAUUAUUGGGCGUAAAGAGCUCGUAGGCGGUUUGUCGCGUCUGUCGUGAAAGCUUGGGGCUUAACCCCAAGUCUGCGGUGGAUACGGGCAGACUAGAGGCAGGUAGGGGAGAACGGAAUUCCAGGUGUAGCGGUGAAAUGCGUAGAUAUCUGGAGGAAUACCGGUGGCGAAGGCGGCAUCCUGGACCGACAUUGACGCUGAUGAGCGAAAGCUAGGGGAGCAAACGGG